AGCGAACGUUAGCGGCGCGCCUAACACAUGCAAGUCGCACGAGAGUGGAGCAAUCCAUGAAAGUGGCGCACGGGUGCGUAACACGUAGAUAAUCUGCCCUUCAGCGGGGGAUAACGUUCC
RNAcentral lists this ribosomal RNA (120 nucleotides) under uncultured bacterium. RNAcentral describes it as "partial 16S ribosomal RNA". It matches the Rfam family "Bacterial small subunit ribosomal RNA", at positions 29 to 152 of the family's 1533-position model. The record is from RNAcentral.